RNAcentral lists this ribosomal RNA (451 nucleotides) under uncultured bacterium. Its description in RNAcentral is "bacterial SSU rRNA". It matches the Rfam family "Bacterial small subunit ribosomal RNA", at positions 354 to 796 of the family's 1533-position model. The record is from RNAcentral.
GUGGGGAAUUUUUCGCAAUGGGCGCAAGCCUGACGAAGCAACGCCGCGUGGGGGAUGAAGGCCUUCGGGUCGUAAACCCCUGUCGACCGGGACGAAACCGGUCCGACCUAAUACGUCGGGCCGUUGACUGUACCGGUGGAGGAAGCCACGGCUAACUCUGUGCCAGCAGCCGCGGUAAUACAGAGGUGGCAAGCGUUGUUCGGAAUUACUGGGCGUAAAGGGCGCGUAGGCGGUUCGUUAAGUCCCGCGUGAAAUCCCCCGGCUCAACCGGGGAAUGGCGUGGGAAACUGGCGGGCUUGAGUUCGGGAGAGGGAAGCGGAAUUCCGGGUGUAGCGGUGAAAUGCGUAGAUAUCCGGAGGAACACCGGUGGCGAAGGCGGCUUCCUGGACCGACACUGACGCUGAGGCGCGAAAGCUAGGGGAGCAAACGGGAUUAGAUACCCCAGUAGUCC